Cryptotermes secundus is the source of this 2603-nucleotide long non-coding RNA. RefSeq lists it as uncharacterized. The transcript has 4 exons. NCBI's taxonomy places the organism in Eukaryota, Metazoa, Arthropoda, Insecta, Blattodea, Kalotermitidae. The record is from RefSeq and is a predicted model, not a curated record.
GAAGAAAUUGACAAAAAAAAGUUAAUUUAUUUCUCUCAGUAAUGGGCCACAUAACAAAAAUGUAACGUGCAAAAAUCUGUAUCUCAGUUUACAUUAUAUUAAUUAAGAGGAGGCAUCUGUUUUGUUAAAACAUCUUGAACAGUAAUUUCUCUAUGUAAUUUUAUUCUUCAGUUGUGCAACAGACCCAGAAUUAACAUAUCAUGGUGAUUAAUAAAUGACUCAUUGGAAAAGAUUUCUAAAUAAGUGAUUGUGGCCCAAUUGAGGCACUGGACCACUAUUUGCCUGAAGGCAAUGGCGGAAAGCAUGAUAAACCUCGGAAUAACCAAUUUGAACUGAAUAACUCCCGCACACAAGUCUAGAGUUGCCGUUGCAAUGGUAUAGUCUGUAAAAUUGCGUUAAUAAGGGACCAUAUUCUCAAUAAUUUCAGAAGAUCCCAGAGGACAGCUGCAUUUAUAGGGGAGAGUUGUCAAUAUCGCACCAGUGCCUACACCGUAUUUUCUUAAUUAUGAGAAGUCAUAUGAUCUGAACUGCCAACUGGUGGAUCUGUUAGAUACAAAUUAUUAUUUCAGAGCUACACCAGUAAUCUGAUAUGUACGGGACCAAGGUACUGCCAGAUUACUGGGAAAAGUUGGAACAAAUUUGUUAAGUUUGCACAACACAGAAGUUUCAGAAUUGAUUAUCAUUUAUUUACAUGCAUAAAUGUGUACUGUGAACUUUUGUGCAUUCAAUAUUUAAUGUGUUAAUCAAUUUUAAUCAUCAUACCAGUAGCCAAAAAAACACUGGGCACAAGGCUUUCUCAGAUGAAAUAGUGAACAGAGUGUUAGAAAGCUUGAACCUACUACAGUCAGCAGGAUCCUGGAUUUUAUCAAAAUUAAAGUUACUCUAUUUCAUGACAACUUAUUGGCUGUCUUUUGUGGGUGUACAAGUUUAAACUUAACUGUAUCUUCAGUGUCGAUGAAAGUGGAUUUUCAUGUGUGUAAAAUCCUGCUUCAGUCAGUGAGCUAUAAGGGUCAAAAACAGGUUGGGACUGGCACAAGCAUCACUCAAUCAUGGAGGUUUCCUGCCAGUAUCUAUGCUUGCUCAGAUCCACAGUGAAUGAAAGAAGAUUUGUUCAUCAUCUGACCAAAAGUUUCAUUUCACAUUUACAGCCCUGCAUUCAGAAUCCCACAUGAUGAACACAAAAGUGCAAAUGCCAGAUGACGAGGAAUUUCUGUUACCAUACAGCUAAAAUUCGGCUGCACACCUAUAACACCAGGGGAUCUACUCUCAGAUGACAGAAGUUCAGCAAUCACCAUGGUGUCACAGUAUCAAUGGAAAAGUGUUGAUUAUGGAGGGGGUAUGGGGGACAACAAAUCCAACAACUCGUUAAGGAACACCAUGAGCUGUAUAUUAAAACUCACCCACUAGCAUCAAGAUCAGCCAUAUUUACACUCGUCUGUGUCACUGCAGUGUCAGUGCUCUUUGGUCUUGUGACAAACUGUAAACAUACAAACAUUCAUAUAAGAAAGCAUUAUUAUUGAUGCAAUCAUGCUGAUAUCCCAGUUGAGUAGUUCUCAUGCUCAUUAAUGCUCAACUCAUUUCAUUGACACAUAACUAGAAAAUAAAGAAGCAAAACACACAAAUCAUUUUAACAGAAGUGGCACACUUUUGACACAGCUGUCUCUCUAUAUGUUUUCAACAUCCCACAUGAAGUGAUAAGCUCCCACACCACAAGUUUAGGCGCCUCUCAUAGUUUGGUAUUACUGAUUUUUAAGAAAUUAAAAAGUUCAUACCUGCUGGCCAUCUCCUAUGGUACAACGUCCAGCAGACUUCCAGUUGAAGCAUGUCAACAGAUACAGUUAUUUUGACAUACACAUUGGAAAUUGGGGUAGCCAAAGAAAUGAAAAGAAGUUGGACAGCACUAAAAGUUUAUCGUAGAAAUGCAAACAAAAAAAGACGGUAUGGACACGUUUCAAGAAUGAAUGAAAAGUGAUCCAAAAGACCAACAGGAAAUUCCCAAGGAGACUGAGAUCAAGCUGGGGACAUCAAGCUAGGAAACAUUUUAUGCAAAAGGAAGCAAGAACAUUGAAAGAAACAACAAGGGGCUUUGGGAAGACAGAGAUUUCAGAUCCCCACAGACAUGCCUAGGAGAAACAUAAUAUUCACUGACAAAACUGCCUUACUUGAAAAAAUUAAGAACCAUCUGCCUAACACCAUUCAUCGCCAACUGACAUGGAUAACUGCAGUGCCCAAAUCCGUAACUGUAGGAGUUAUACAGCAGCAAGAGAAACUGGGAGAUCAAUGGACAUUAUGUCAUGGCCAGCAGUGAACUUCCCAAAAACUGAAGUGUGAAGGUGUUCAGGCUUCCAUUGCCCCACUUGUGUUUCUGUUUGGUUAUAAUAAUGGGGCACUGUCCCGAACGGUGAGGUUUGUUCUUUCCUGAGUUUUCGUCUGGAACGAUCAAGCUGGUCAAAGAUAACAGGUUGCAGUUUUGUUAUAUUCUUACUGUUUGCACAUGUUGCAGUUCAAUGAUGAAAAUUAUUUGUUAUUAUGAUUGUUAUGGUAAUUAUUGUGCUUUAUUUUUUUUAAUGUCACGUAUUGUUAUUAAAUAUUUAUUUUUGAGA